This 585-nucleotide long non-coding RNA is filed under the name Rattus norvegicus (Norway rat). Its description in RNAcentral is "long non-coding RNA NONRATT015202". Lineage: Eukaryota; Metazoa; Chordata; Mammalia; Rodentia; Muridae. The record is from RNAcentral.
GAAUGAGAACUAUUUUAUAGUGUUCCUUGAGGGAAAUUUGAAAAAUAGUACUAUUCAUGUUACAGCCUUUUAUUUUUUAAAAACUACUUUUCAAAAAUUAUAAUUAUGUUCACGGUCAAGCUUUGAUUCCUUAAAAGAUACUGUAAGUAGCAUAUAUGUCAGUGCCAGGGGUGAAGAGAGCUGAGGCAGCUCAGUAGUCAUGUCCUUUGUCGGGGAAGUGCUACUACUAAAGGGAGUGUAGUGGGGUAAAUCGGACUGGUGAACAAAGCCGCUUGUCUGCUUCCCCAGUCAGCUCUGCCCCACUCCCUGAGCUGACACUGCCUGCACCUACUGCACCAGGAAGGCCUCCUUUAUGUUUGCUGAUUGUCUUUGUUGACCCCUGCAUUUGGGGCCGUGACUUUUCUGUGCUGACUUUUACCCUCAUACUAAACAUUGCUGUUACCACAAACAGACACUGGUGACCAUCCACUGUGCUGUGGUAUACAGUGACAGUGACCACUUCUACUUGUGAUGUUAGCUUCCGUGAAACCGUUUUCUAGUUUCUGGGUUGUGAAAAAGUAUCUCACAGACAAAAAAAAAAAAAAA